This 115-nucleotide non-coding RNA is filed under the name Lysinibacillus contaminans. RNAcentral describes it as "SAM-I sequence". It matches the Rfam family "SAM riboswitch aptamer (S box leader)". From Rfam's summary of the family: The SAM riboswitch is found upstream of a number of genes which code for proteins involved in methionine or cysteine biosynthesis in Gram-positive bacteria. The SAM riboswitch acts at the level of transcription termination control. The predicted structure consists of a complex stem-loop region followed by a single stem loop terminator region. The record is from RNAcentral. Lineage: Bacteria; Bacillati; Bacillota; Bacilli; Caryophanales; Bacillaceae.
CUCUUAUCAAGAGCGGCGGAGGGAUAGGCCCUAUGAUGCCCGGCAACCAGCAAGUGAAAAAUUUGCUAAGGUGCUAAUUCCUACAGAUUCUAUAUUUGGAUCUGGCAGAUAAGGG